Long non-coding RNA from Hylaeus anthracinus, 311 nucleotides. RefSeq lists it as uncharacterized. The record is from RefSeq and is a predicted model, not a curated record. Lineage: Eukaryota; Metazoa; Arthropoda; Insecta; Hymenoptera; Colletidae. The transcript has 3 exons.
UUGUGCUGACCCAAGAAUCGAACUCAAGACUCUCCAGUCGGUCUCGUCGAUGACGCCGUAGGAACGCCGGGAAUGAGCUUCACCUCGCUUCAUCGUCAGCUGAUAAAGAACCGAAGGAGUGGAGAUAAUCAUUUUUGUUCGCGCUAUCUUCGAUAAUCUACACCAAAGGAAUAUAGCACUUGAUAGGAUAUCUUAGAACGAGUUACCGAAGAAUAUUAGUUAUACGUACAUGGGUUAGCAGUAAAAGAUGCGACGAAUUUCAAGUUCGCGUAACGUCGUAACGUAGGGGCGAUUACGAGACGACGGGGGUG